UCACAGCCCUCCGCGCGCUGGAGGUGCUUGACACCGGCUCGAGCGGCCCGUCUGGCUCCUCAGCUGUCAUUUGAAAUGUAAAGCGAAUGAAAAUAGAUACACAGGCAUCCUCAAUUAGCACGACUGAAGACAUUUUGUGCCGUUUUCCCCCCUGUUCUUUUUAUGAAGCGGUAUUGGUCAUGAAAGGACGCCGUGUUUUUCUAAAAGAUCCAGAUGCAGAGAGGAGUCAGGAGCAGAGUUGUUUUUAAUCACCGGGGACGGCAGGAGUCGACUUCCUCUGAAGUUUGACCGUAAAGGUGAUUUAAACCAAACAGCUAAACAAGGGAAGUUGCACAUUCCUGUGCAAACAGAUCCAAUAUUUCCUUUCGCAGGGGAGGUUAACAGCAGACAGGAUAUGCAAUAUUUCAUAUGAAAUUGGAAACAGGCCCGCUUGAGCAAAACCAGGGCCUCUAGUAAACCAGACUGCAGGAGAGGGUCUCGUAAACAUGAGGCAUGGAUUAUUCCAGAAUAGGCCCGGGGUCAGAGAUGCAGUUGGAAGGCACUGGCAAAGCGCAUCGAAUUAUUAAGACUGGAGGUAAAAGCCUGUCAUGGUCUGUAUGUGUACGCCCUCAUUUGUGGAGUACGGAUUUGGCCAGCCUCACCCCCGCAGUGCAGCCAAGUCCCUAUCUCACCCCCGCAGAAGCCAAAGCAUCAAACCUCCUCCACGUCUGCGGCGUCUGUACCCUCCAGCCACCUCCCCAACACUCGUUCCUCUACCACACCUUCUCUCCGCUCACAUAAUCAUCUUCCUAGCCUUCUGGUCAUCUGUGGAGCCUAUUUUUGCAUGUAUUUGGUACCGGGUGCUUUUCUUCUUCCAAAAUAGGCAAUUUAGUUCAGUAACAGCUAUGAAUCACGAUUUGCUACUUUCUAUUGCUAAUCAGAUUUAUUUUUCCGUAAGUGUAUUUGACCCUGUCUGUGAAAUCCAGACUAAAGUCUCAUAAUCUAAUUUUGAGAUUAAGUACUGUAAAAAAA
Non-coding RNA from Misgurnus anguillicaudatus (oriental weatherfish), 1011 nucleotides. The record is from RefSeq and is a predicted model, not a curated record. NCBI's taxonomy places the organism in Eukaryota, Metazoa, Chordata, Actinopteri, Cypriniformes, Cobitidae.